GAUGAACGCUGGCGGCGUGCCUAAUACAUGCAAGUCGAGCGAACAGACGAGGAGCUUGCUCCUCUGACGUUAGCGGCGGACGGGUGAGUAACACGUGGAUAACCUACCUAUAAGACUGGGAUAACUUCGGGAAACCGGAGCUAAUACCGGAUAAUAUAUUGAACCGCAUGGUUCAAUAGUGAAAGACGGUUUUGCUGUCACUUAUAGAUGGAUCCGCGCCGCAUUAGCUAGUUGGUAAGGUAACGGCUUACCAAGGCAACGAUGCGUAGACGACCUGAGAGGGUGAUCGGCCACAUGGGAACUGAGACACGGUCCAGACUCCUACGGGAGGCAGCAGUAGGGAAUCUUCCGCAAUGGGCGAAAGCCUGACGGAGCAACGCCGCGUGAGUGAUGAAGGUCUUCGGAUCGUAAAACUCUGUUAUUAGGGAAGAACAAAUGUGUAAGUAACUAUGCACGUCUUGACGGUACCUAAUCAGAAAGCCACGGCUAACUACGUG
RNAcentral lists this ribosomal RNA (497 nucleotides) under uncultured bacterium. Its description in RNAcentral is "partial 16S ribosomal RNA". It matches the Rfam family "Bacterial small subunit ribosomal RNA", at positions 28 to 507 of the family's 1533-position model. The record is from RNAcentral.